RNAcentral lists this small RNA (28 nucleotides) under Bombyx mori (domestic silkworm). RNAcentral's name for it is "ovarian small RNA-24730". The record is from RNAcentral. Lineage: Eukaryota; Metazoa; Arthropoda; Insecta; Lepidoptera; Bombycidae.
UCAAGCCGCAGGGUCCGGGUAUUGAGAU